Molecule: non-coding RNA, 199 nt
Filed under: Clostridium mediterraneense
Lineage: Bacteria; Bacillati; Bacillota; Clostridia; Eubacteriales; Clostridiaceae
Description: Lysine riboswitch
Rfam family: Lysine riboswitch aptamer
About the family: Riboswitches are metabolite binding domains within certain messenger RNAs that serve as precision sensors for their corresponding targets.
Source: RNAcentral
UUGUAGAGGCGCUGAAAUCAAGAGUAAUUGUUAGGAGUCGGGAGGCAAUGAUCAGCAAUGAAAGGGAAAUUAGCCGAAGGGAAAUAUUGCGAGAUAUUUUUCUGGCCAUUUUUAGAAUAUAAACUUGGCUGUCACGUUUAGCUAAUAUUUAAAAUUAGCUAAUAGAAGAAUAAAAACUUUUAAGUGGAGUGCUACUAAG